UGCCAGCAGCCGCGGUAAUACGAAGGGUGCUAGCGUUGUUCGGAAUUACUGGGCGUAAAGCGCGCGCAGGCGGUUUGUCAAGUCAGAUGUGAAAUCCCAGGGCUUAACCCUGGAACUGCAUUUGAAACUGGCUCACUAGAGAUAGGUAGAGGAGAGUGGAAUUCCCAGUGUAGAGGUGAAAUUCGUAGAUAUUGGGAGGAACACCGGAGGCGAAGGCGGCUCUCUGGACCUAUUCUGACGCUGAGGCGCGAAAGCGUGGGGAGCAAACAGGAUUAGAUA
RNAcentral lists this ribosomal RNA (279 nucleotides) under uncultured bacterium. RNAcentral describes it as "partial 16S ribosomal RNA". It matches the Rfam family "Bacterial small subunit ribosomal RNA", at positions 506 to 784 of the family's 1533-position model. The record is from RNAcentral.